GGUUUGAAGUAGAGUAAAUAAGUAAAAUUGUUCUUUUAGUUCUAAUAGAUACGCAAAUACCUAAAGAAGAGAGAAAAGGGCUUCAAGUAGUCGCCGACGCAUGCGAGUAGGAAGAAAAGGCUGUAGAGGGUCUUUGGUGGAGUUGACCAGAUUGAGGUCGUUUGGUUGGUGUUCUAGACGUUGCAAGGUUGGAGAAACUCUCUGUUAGCGAGAUCCAGGAGCAGCUUUUGGACCUCAGCAGUAGGAUUUGAUCGGGAGCUGACUUCAGUCCAGAGACACCAAGGUAGCCUUGCUGAUGUCCGUAGGCUCGGAGUCUCUCUCUCUUUAUUCAGUUUGUUAUCUUUUGUACCGAAACAAAUAGUUUAUAAUUUUCUUUCAGACGAUUGUAUUUAGUAAAUCUUAGAAGUUCGUGAGCAUUGUGACACCAAUCUUGGGUAGAAAAUUAUGUUAAACUUUCCGCAUUUCUAUUUAGCUUUUAUAUAAGUUAAGACUUCCGCUUGAAA
Nicotiana tabacum (common tobacco) is the source of this 503-nucleotide non-coding RNA. Lineage: Eukaryota; Viridiplantae; Streptophyta; Magnoliopsida; Solanales; Solanaceae. The record is from RefSeq and is a predicted model, not a curated record.